RNAcentral lists this long non-coding RNA (287 nucleotides) under Lathyrus oleraceus (garden pea). RNAcentral's name for it is "Pisum sativum (pea) long non-coding RNA (PSAT_LNC002667)". Lineage: Eukaryota; Viridiplantae; Streptophyta; Magnoliopsida; Fabales; Fabaceae. The record is from RNAcentral.
AAAAUUUGGCGAAGGAGUUGGAUCAUUGUAUUUAAUGGGGUUAGAAACCAACCUGCAUAAUAAUUUGAUAUUUUGAUUUUAGAGAAGUGAAUUAUGUUUAUUUAUUUAUGUUUUUUGUGAUUAGCAUUUUCAGAAUAAGGCAAAAAGUAAAACAAAACAUCAUAGAUGUGGAUGAAUAGAAUUAUAUUUUAUUCAUGAUCAAAUUGAAAUGCCCAAACAAUGUUCGCUUCUCCCUUAGGCAUAGGAGAAGGAUUUUCAAAAAACAAAUAAAAGAAAUUACUUAGAUC